Molecule: transfer RNA, 70 nt
Filed under: Camelus bactrianus (Bactrian camel)
Lineage: Eukaryota; Metazoa; Chordata; Mammalia; Artiodactyla; Camelidae
Also listed under: 2 other names
Rfam family: tRNA
About the family: Transfer RNA (tRNA) molecules are approximately 80 nucleotides in length. Their secondary structure includes four short double-helical elements and three loops (D, anti-codon, and T loops).
Source: Rfam by way of RNAcentral
GGCUUUGGCUCAGUGGUAGAGCACAUGCUUAGCAUGCAUGAGGUCCUGGGUUCAAUCCCCGGUACCGCCA